UUCAACUCAGUGGCGGACGGGUGAGUAACGCGUGAGUAACCUGCCUUUCAGAGGGGGAUAACGUUCUGAAAAGAACGCUAAUACCGCAUAAGAUUGUAGCUUCGCAUGGAGCAGCAAUCAAAGGAGCAAUCCGCUGAAAGAUGGACUCGCGUCCGAUUAGAUAGUUGGCGGGGUAACGGCCCACCAAGUCGACGAUCGGUAGCCGGACUGAGAGGUUGAUCGGCCACAUUGGGACUGAGACACGGCCCAGACUCCUACGGGAGGCAGCAGUGAGGGAUAUUGGGCAAUGGGGGAAACCCUGACCCAGCAACGCCGCGUGAGGGAUGACGGUUUUCGGAUUGUAAACCUCUGUCCUCUGUGAAGAUAGUGACGGUAGCAGAGGAGGAAGCUCCGGCUAACUACGUGCCAGCAGCCGCGGUAAUACGUAGGGAGCAAGCGUUGUCCGGAUUUACUGGGUGUAAAGGGUGCGUAGGCGGAUUGGCAAGUCAGAAGUGAAAUCCAUGGGCUUAACCCAUGAACUGCUUUUGAAACUGUUAGUCUUGAGUGAAGUAGAGGUAGGCGGAAUUCCCGGUGUAGCGGUGAAAUGCGUAGAGAUCGGGAGGAACACCAGUGGCGAAGGCGGCCUACUGGGCUUUAACUGACGCUGAGGCACGAAAGUGUGGGU
RNAcentral lists this ribosomal RNA (664 nucleotides) under uncultured Lachnospiraceae bacterium. RNAcentral's name for it is "bacterial SSU rRNA". It matches the Rfam family "Bacterial small subunit ribosomal RNA", at positions 86 to 766 of the family's 1533-position model. The record is from RNAcentral. Lineage: Bacteria; Bacillati; Bacillota; Clostridia; Lachnospirales; Lachnospiraceae.